Molecule: long non-coding RNA, 598 nt
Filed under: Homo sapiens (human)
Lineage: Eukaryota; Metazoa; Chordata; Mammalia; Primates; Hominidae
Description: HSALNT0390181
Source: RNAcentral
GACUGAGUUUCACCGUGUCGACCAGGCUGGCCUCAAACUCCUGACCUCGUGAUCCGCCCACCUCAUCUUACUGGUUUUUCUAAAUCUAGGCUGGCUUACUAGAGAAGGCUGAAAAAGAUGAAUAUGUGGGAAGAAUUGGUGUUUCCUUGACUGUAUUAAAAGGUGAUGAAGAUUUUCACUGGAGUGUUUGGUUGUUGAGACAGCUAUGAUUUUUAAAAGUAAAUUUUCUGGUUUCCCAAUUUUGUUUAUAUUAUCUGCAUGGAUAUUGUAUCUGAAAUGAAACUUUUUUUUUCUAUUUUGAAGGAAGAAAUGGAUAAUUUUUGCUGAAUUUCUUCCUUGUAGACCUAGUUCUAUUAUCAUUUGUUAGUUCACUGUGCUCAAGUCCACUUCUGUAUUUAGAUUUAAAGCAAAUGCUUCAGAGGCUUGCUUCUUCCGUAACCCAUCUUUCUUUAAAUGGAUUAGUAGCUUAAUUCAGCUUGCUAAUAUUCAUGGCAUUAUCCCCACUAACUUUGCUGUUUAAAUCACCGCUUUAAAAAUAUCUUGGUUAACGUUAAAUAUUUUGUGCUUAGAGGUAUAAUAAACACUGUAGUUAAAGGAU